Molecule: ribosomal RNA, 450 nt
Filed under: uncultured Mollicutes bacterium
Lineage: Bacteria; Bacillati; Mycoplasmatota; Mollicutes
Description: bacterial SSU rRNA
Rfam family: Bacterial small subunit ribosomal RNA
Source: RNAcentral
ACCAAGCGGUGGAGUAUGUUGUUAAUCAGAUACACGAAGAACCUUACCAGGUCUUGACAUACCAUUGACAGGUGUAGAGAUACACUCUCCUUCGGGCAAUGGAUACAGGUGGUGCAUGGUUGUCGUCAGCUCGUGCCGUGAGGUGUUGGGUUAAGUCCCGCAACGAGCGCAACCCUCAUUGUUAGUUACUACCAUUCAGUUGAGGACUCUAAUGAGACUGCAACGACAAGUUGGAGGAAGGUGGGGAUGACGUCAAAUCAUCAUGCCCUUUAUGACCUGGGCUACAAACGUACUACAAUGGCCAAUACAAAGAGAUGCGAAGCGGUGACGUGAAGCGAACCUCAGAAAGUUGGUCUCAGUUCAGAUUGAAGUCUGCAACUCGACUUCAUGAAGGCGGAAUCGCUAGUAAUCGCGGGUCAGCAGACCGCGGUGAAUACGUUCCCGGGUUUU